Prunus avium (sweet cherry) is the source of this 754-nucleotide non-coding RNA. The record is from RefSeq and is a predicted model, not a curated record. Lineage: Eukaryota; Viridiplantae; Streptophyta; Magnoliopsida; Rosales; Rosaceae.
AAUUAUUUUUGCUACUCUUCGGACUCCAAACUCAUCACAUCUCACAGACCUUCCUUUUCCUUGAACGCGCAGCCACACAACACAACCCACAUCUCAGACUCUCAUUUUCCUUUGAACAACUACAACCUCCACUGCUUCAAUCAAACACAUUUUGCACAUCUGAGAAACAUGUUCAUCCAUCGUCGGCGUCGCACAUCUCAGAAAACUGAUGCCUGGAUUAAUGAUACUUGGAUAUAAGUGUGGUGUGGUUGCAAUUUGUUGGUGAUUAUGGAUGAAGCUAACUCAGUGCCAAUGAUGAAAUGCAGAGAUCAAAUGCUAUUGCACCUGUGCACAUUUUCACUGAUUGAUUCUCUAUUGAUGCACAACCUUGCAGUUAUGUAUCGGACAGACCAGCAUACUACAUCAGAAAAAGACUUCAGUCAUGUGCCACAAAAUCUGUUUUAAUAUGUUUCUUGCUUUUAAUUUGUUUUGAUGGAAAUUAGGACCUUUAGAAUGGGGACAUACCACUUUAGAAUGUUUGUUUUGAUGGAAAUUAUGAAUUAUUUAAUUUCUUUUUUAUUAUUUAAUUAUUAUGAUUUUGAUUGCUGAACUAUUAAAUUUGUGAUGAUCUAAUUGAUGAAAUUAACUCUAGAUGCCUGGAUUAAUGAUACUUGGAUAUAAGUGUGGUGUGGUUGCAAUUUGUUGGUGAUUAUGGAUGAAGCUAACUCAGUGCCAACGAUGAAAUGCAGAGAUCAAAUGCUAUUGCACCUGUGCA